GUGCUCGCUUCAACAGCACACAUACUAAAAUUGGAAUUACACAGAGAAGAUUAGCAUGACCCUGCACAAGGAUGAAGAGUAGGUUUUAAAUUUUU
Mandrillus leucophaeus (drill) is the source of this 95-nucleotide small nuclear RNA. NCBI's taxonomy places the organism in Eukaryota, Metazoa, Chordata, Mammalia, Primates, Cercopithecidae. The record is from Ensembl.